Non-coding RNA from Myotis lucifugus (little brown bat), 75 nucleotides. Lineage: Eukaryota; Metazoa; Chordata; Mammalia; Chiroptera; Vespertilionidae. The record is from Rfam.
GAGACACCCUUAUGAAGCAGGACUUGCUUCAGUGGGGCUUUGUGCUCACUGAGUCUUCCCCUUAAGUGUGUUGCU